RNAcentral lists this ribosomal RNA (592 nucleotides) under uncultured bacterium. RNAcentral describes it as "bacterial SSU rRNA". It matches the Rfam family "Bacterial small subunit ribosomal RNA", at positions 338 to 961 of the family's 1533-position model. The record is from RNAcentral.
CCUACGGGAGGCAGCAGUGGGGAAUAUUGGACAAUGGGCGAAAGCCUGAUCCAGCAAUGCCGCGUGAGUGAUGAAGGCCUUAGGGUUGUAAAGCUCUUUUACCAGGGAUGAUAAUGACAGUACCUGGAGAAUAAGCUCCGGCUAACUCCGUGCCAGCAGCCGCGGUAAUACGGAGGGAGCUAGCGUUGUUCGGAAUUACUGGGCGUAAAGCGUACGUAGGCGGUUAUUCAAGUCAGAGGUGAAAGCCUGGAGCUCAACUCCAGAACUGCCUUUGAAACUAGGUAGCUAGAAUCACGGAGAGGUUAGUGGAAUUCCGAGUGUAGAGGUGAAAUUCGUAGAUAUUCGGAAGAACACCAGUGGCGAAGGCGACUAACUGGACGUGUAUUGACGCUGAGGUACGAAAGCGUGGGGAGCAAACAGGAUUAGAUACCCUGGUAGUCCACGCCGUAAACGAUGAUAACUAGCUGUUCGGUCUCUACGAGACUGAGUGGCGCAGCUAACGCAUUAAGUUAUCCGCCUGGGGAGUACGGUCGCAAGAUUAAAACUCAAAUGUAGUAGUUAGNGUGAGAGUGCGAGACGACACGAGGAGAGG